RNAcentral lists this ribosomal RNA (301 nucleotides) under uncultured bacterium. RNAcentral's name for it is "partial 16S ribosomal RNA". It matches the Rfam family "Bacterial small subunit ribosomal RNA", at positions 509 to 809 of the family's 1533-position model. The record is from RNAcentral.
CAGCAGCCGCGGGAAAACAGAGGGUGCAAGCGUUAAUCGGAAUUACUGGGCGUAAAGCGCGCGUAGGUGGUUUGUUAAGUUGGAUGUGAAAUCCCCGGGCUCAACCUGGGAACUGCAUCCAAAACUGGCAGGCUAGAGUAGGGCAGAGGGUGGUGGAAUUUCCUGUGUAGCGGUGAAAUGCGUAGAUAUAGGAAGGAACACCAGUGGCGAAGGCGACCACCUGGGCUCAUACUGACACUGAGGUGCGAAAGCGUGGGGAGCAAACAGGAUUAGAUACCCCUGUAGUCCCUGUCUCUUAUAU